UACGGAGGGAGCUAGCGUUGUUCGGAAUUACUGGGCGUAAAGCGCGCGUAGGCGGCUUUGUAAGUUAGGGGUGAAGGCCCGGAGCUCAGCUCCGGAAUUGCCUUUAAGACUGCAUCGCUUGAAUCCAGGAGAGGUGAGUGGAAUUCCGAGUGUAGAGGUGAAAUUCGUAGAUAUUCGGAAGAACACCAGUGGCGAGGGCGGCUCACUGGACUGGUAUUGACGCUGAGGUGCGAAAGCGCGGGGAGCAAACAGG
RNAcentral lists this unclassified non-coding RNA (253 nucleotides) under uncultured Sphingomonadaceae bacterium. Its description in RNAcentral is "contains 16S-23S intergenic spacer region". It matches the Rfam family "Bacterial small subunit ribosomal RNA", at positions 524 to 776 of the family's 1533-position model. The record is from RNAcentral. Lineage: Bacteria; Pseudomonadati; Pseudomonadota; Alphaproteobacteria; Sphingomonadales; Sphingomonadaceae.